UACAGAGGUCUCAAGCGUUGUUCGGAUUCAUUGGGCGUAAAGGGCGCGUAGGCGGCGAGGUAAGUCGGGUGUGAAAUCUCAGAGCUCAACUCUGAAACUGCACUCGAUACUGCUUUGCUAGAGGACUGGAGAGGAGAUUGGAAUUCACGGUGUAGCAGUGAAAUGCGUAGAGAUCGUGAGGAACACCUAUGGCGAAGGCAGCUCGCUGGGACGUUACUGACGCUGAGACGCGAAAGCGUGGGGAGCAAACAGG
Molecule: ribosomal RNA, 253 nt
Filed under: uncultured bacterium
Lineage: Bacteria
Description: partial 16S ribosomal RNA
Rfam family: Bacterial small subunit ribosomal RNA
Source: RNAcentral